Molecule: non-coding RNA, 2390 nt
Organism: Cinara cedri
Lineage: Eukaryota; Metazoa; Arthropoda; Insecta; Hemiptera; Aphididae
Source: the annotation of a GenBank genome assembly
CACAAUUUCCCAUCAAUUUGAUCGAAGAAGUCAUUUAUUAAUAAUGCCUUAAAUGAUGAAACAAAAUGAUAGCAGUCUGGAUUUGUGUUCCUAUAGGAAUGACUUCUAAUAUUCCCAAAUAAACAUUGCAAUGAAUCCUGAUUAAUGUUUCUAGUUAACAGGUAUUUUAAUUUGUUUAUUUUUCAGCUUAUACCAAAGAUAUUUAAAAGACUUAAGUGUUAUGACCCAAUUGUUAAUGCACAGUGAUUGUUUUGCUAAUGGCUUUUUAGUAUUUUUGUCAAUGAAUUUCAUACUUUUAAAAACUGUUAUUGCUUGAUUCCAGGGUUUGAGAUGUACAUCUUUGGAUUCAAUUUAAAAUGCUCCUGAUAAUGGUUUGCAUGCAUCUGGAAUACUUCUAGAAGCAUUCAAGGAAUCAAAUGUUUUAUUGACAAAUAAUAAUUUAUUAACAAACAUAGUGAAACAGUACUAAAUAUAAGAGAUUAUAAUUAUAGUUGGCUAAAAGAGAAAGAGCAGGAGUAGUGAAUACCAAGGUCUUUAAUAAUGGAAACAUGCUUUAGCUGUAUACUAUUAAGGGUGUAUGAAUAAUGCAUUGGGCUUCUUGAUCUAGUGAAAGAAAUCACUUUGUGUUUGUUAACAUUGAGAGAGAAGCCUAGUUGGGAAACCCACAAAUCGAAUUGGAUAAGUUUGCCUUGUAAUAUAUAGCAGUUAGCAGAAGUUUUGAUUUUAUAGAAUAUUUAUAUACCAUUGGCAUAUAGUAGGAAUUGAGCUUUAUUCAAGUGACUAGAGAUAGAGUUAUGAAACAGGGAAAACAAAAGAUGACUUGGAUAACUACCUUGUGGUACACUAGAGAUGACAUUGACCAAGUUAGACGAAAUACCGUUAAGUUUGACAAAUUGUUUCUGGUCAGAGGAAGGAACGAAACCAUGGUAAUAGUGGAUCACUAAUCUCAAUACGGUCAGGUUCAUAUUGUGGGGAACAGUGUCAAAUGCUUCAGACAAAUUAGUUAGAAUGACAUUUACCAUGCAAUUAUCCUCAAAGCAGUCUAAAAUUAAUGAAAGAAAUGAUACACUACAGGUAAUUGUGCUAUUUCCUUUAUGGAAUCUAUGUUGCUGCAGAAUAAGAAUAUGAUUCAGACUUGGACCUACAUGAUUAAUGACAAUGGAUUCAAACAAUUUGGCGAUGUAAAGUGAUAUAGAGAUAGGCCUGUAAUUCAUGGCAGAGGAGUUGUUAGAGGUGAUGGAGGCAUCAAAAGGUUUAAAAACAAGUGAAAAAUAUUCAGAGAAAAGAGAAGCUGCUUUAGAGUUGUUAGAAGCCUUAGUUGAUCCAUAGCAGAGUUUAGUAGGAAUUGAGGUGUCCUGAUUGAGAUUGUAGAAAUAUUUCCCAAAAUCACGAGAUGCGCGUGAAAGUUGGUUUUCAACAAAAUUCACUUGGGAAUGUUAGUUAAAUUUAGAGAUGCGCUUGCACUUAACUCUUAGUUCUGAGAAUUUAUUGUAAUCACAAACACGAGAAGAUCUUUUAAAUUUCAUGUGUGCCCGUUUUUUUCUGAAAAAUUGAAUUUUUGAGUUUGUUAGAGGUCAAAUGUGGGAACGAAGAGCAUUUAAUAGUAUUUGAAAGAACAAACCUAUCUAUACAGUGUAGCAAGGUAUUAUUAAAAACUGAUGCAGAGUCGUUGGCAUUGUACUGAGCAAAAGUAUCAACCCAAUUAAAAGACAAAAACAUUUAUUAAUUUCAGAAUAGUCUGUAUUAUUAAAAUCACAGUACAGGAAGGAUUCGUAUAUUUUCGGAGACUUGGGGAAAGGCAGUGGCGUAGCCAAAGGGGAUGUUACUGUGUGUAUAUUAUUUUAGGAUUUAAGUAUAAACUAUGAAUGUCUGAAAUGUUUGUAAAAUUUGUAUGACUAUUAAUUACAGAUAACAAAAAUAUUUUAUUAUUAAAGAAUAAGACUCAAUUAUCAACCAUUAUUUUGUUGGCUUAUUUUUCCUUAAAUAUAUUAAAAAAUAAAAUCCAAAUUAUUGCUAACACUGUUUGGGUUAAACCUCCAAACCACUUCAUACCUACACCACUGGAGAAAGGGCAAUUUAGUAUUUAAAGAGGAUGAUAGGAGUCAAAAGGCACUAACGGAAGUGUAGCACUACUGACAGAAAGAUCCCUGGAGAAAGCAAAAACUAGAUCGAGAAGGUCACCUGCGGAGUUAUAAAUAGUAUUACAUUGAAAGAAAUUAAGGAACGAGAAAGAAUCAGUUAAUAGAUUGGAGGCAGGUGUUGAUAAUAAAAUUCCUUUAUAAAAAAAAAUACUAAAUUAAACUCAAUUUUUUUUUUUACCACAAAGUAGACUUAUUGAAUCUUCUAUUAAAUUUUUAAGCAUUUCUGUUAGUUAAACAAUUUUACCACAG